RNAcentral lists this unclassified non-coding RNA (200 nucleotides) under Hevea brasiliensis (rubber tree). Lineage: Eukaryota; Viridiplantae; Streptophyta; Magnoliopsida; Malpighiales; Euphorbiaceae. The record is from RNAcentral.
AUCAGACUUGCAUUUCUUGCUGGGGCUGGGCUUCAGGCUUUUCAGCAGUUCACGGGCAUCAAUACAGUCAUGUACUAUAGCCCAACCAUUGUUCAAAUGGCUGGCUUUAGUUCUAACCAAUUAGCACUUCUCCUGUCCCUUAUCGUUGCUGCAAUGAAUGCUGCAGGAUCGAUUCUUGGCAUUUACCUUAUUGACCAUUU